Molecule: ribosomal RNA, 1135 nt
Filed under: Pinus taeda (loblolly pine)
Lineage: Eukaryota; Viridiplantae; Streptophyta; Pinopsida; Pinales; Pinaceae
Description: bacterial SSU rRNA
Rfam family: Bacterial small subunit ribosomal RNA
Source: RNAcentral
AGAGUUUGAACCUGGCUCAGGAUGAACACUGGCGGCAUGCUUAACAGUUGAAAAUCAGAUGGGAAGUGAUGUUUCCAGUGGUGGAUGAGUGAGUAACGCAUAAGAACCUACCCUUGGGAGGGGAACAAUAGCUAGAAACAACUGCUAAUACCCCAUAAGCUGAGGAGCAAAAGGAGGAAUUCGCCCAAGGAGGGGCUCACAUCUGAUUAGUUUUAUUGGUGAUGGAAAUGGCUUACCAAGGCGAACGAUCAGUAGAUGGUCGCGAGAGGAUGAUCAGCCACACUGGGAUUGAGACAUGACCUACACUCCUAUGGGAGGCAACAGUGGGGAAUUUUCUGCAAUGGGCGAAAGCCUGAUGGAGCAAUGGCGCAUGAAGGCAGAAGGCCCACAGGUCAUGAAAUUCUUCUCUCGGAGAAGAGAAAAUGAUGAUAUCUGAGGAAUAAGCAUCGACUAACUCUGUGCCAGCAGCCGUGGUAAGACAGAGGAUGCAAGUGUUAUCCGGAAUGAUUGGGGCAGUAAGCCGUCUGUAGGUGGCUUUCAAGUCCGCCGUCAAAUCCCAGGGCCAAACCUUGGAUAGGUGGUGGAAACUACCAAGCUCGAGUACGGUAGGCGCAGAGGGAAUUUCUGGUGGAACGAUGAAAUGUGUUGAGAUUGAAAAAAACACCAACGUCGAAAGCACUCUGCUAGGCCGACACUGACACUGAGAGACAAAAGCUAGGGGAGAAAAUGGGAUUAGAUACCCCAGUAUUCCUAGCCGUAAAUGAUGGAUACUAAGUUUUGUGCAUAUAGACCCACGCAGUCUUGUAGCUAACAUGUUAAGUAUCCCACCUGGGGAGUACAUUCGCAAGAAUGAAACUCAAAGAAAUUGACAGGGGCCUGCACAAGCAGUGGAGCAUGUGGUUCAAUUUGAUGCAUAACAGAGAACCUUACUAGGGCUUGACAUGCCAUGAAUCCUCUUGAAAGAGAGGAGUGCCUUUGGGAACACGGACACAGGUGGUGCAUGGAUGUUGUCAGUUCAUGCCGUAAGGUGUUGGGUUUAAGUCCGCAACGAGCGCAACCCUCUGUUUAGUUGCCGCAUUUAUUUGGAACCCUGAACAGACUGGCCGGUGAUACGCCGGAGGAAGUUCGAGGAUGA